This 750-nucleotide ribosomal RNA is filed under the name Mucor circinelloides. RNAcentral describes it as "partial large subunit ribosomal RNA". It matches the Rfam family "Eukaryotic large subunit ribosomal RNA", at positions 23 to 673 of the family's 3401-position model. The record is from RNAcentral. Lineage: Eukaryota; Fungi; Mucoromycota; Mucoromycetes; Mucorales; Mucoraceae.
UUUUAACCCGCGUGUGGACUGAGCAUAUCAAUGAGCGGAGGAAAAGAAAAUAACAAUGAUUUCCCUAGUAACGGCGAGUGAAGAGGAAAGAGCUCAAAGUUGGAAACUGUUUGGCUUAGCUAAACCGUAUUGUAAACUGUAGAAACAUUUUCCUGGCACGCCGGAUUAAUAAGUCCUUUGGAACAAGGCAUCAUGGAGGGUGAGAAUCCCGUCUUUGAUCCGAGUAGUUGUCUUUUGUGAUAUGUUUUCAAAGAGUCAGGUUGUUUGGGAAUGCAGCCUAAAUUGGGUGGUAAAUCUCACCUAAAGCUAAAUAUUUGCGAGAGACCGAUAGCGAACAAGUACCGUGAGGGAAAGAUGAAAAGAACUUUGAAAAGAGAGUUAAACAGUAUGUGAAAUUGUUAAAAGGGAACCGUUUGGAGCCAGACUGGUUUGACUGUAAUCAACCUAGAAUUCGUUCUGGGUGCACUUGCAGUCUAUACCUGCCAACAACAGUUUGAUUUGGAGGAAAAAAUUAGUAGGAAUGUAGCCUCUCGAGGUGUUAUAGCCUACUAUCAUACUCUGGAUUGGACUGAGGAACGCAGCGAAUGCCUUUAGGCGAGAUUGCUGGGUGCUUUCGCUAAUAAAUGUUAGAAUUUCUGCUUCGGGUGGUGCUAAUGUUUAAAGGAGGAACACAUCUAGUAUAUUUUUUAUUCGCUUAGGUUGUUGGCUUAAUGACUCUAAUGACCCGUCUUGAACCAACGGAACCAUAAA